GUCGCUCUUUUGUUGGUCUGGCUGACUUCUGUUCCUCUUUUAAAAAUUUAAGUUUGGCCGGGUGCGGUGGCUCACGGGGCCCCUGAUUGUCUGAAGGUUGCGCUGGCACGCGCAACUUCCGGGACAGAGGCUGUGGCUGGAAGGAGCUGGGCAUCCGGCCUGAGGCGCAGCGGUCGCGUUAGUUCGGCCCAAUGGCGGCACCGCUGCUUCACACGCGUUUGCCGGGAGAUGCGGCCGCUUCGCCCUCUGCAGUCAAGAUGCUGGGCGCGUCGAGGACUGGGAUUUCAAAUAUGCGUGCAUUAGAGAAUGAUUUUUUCAAUUCUCCCCCAAGAAAAACUGUUCAGUUUGGUGGAACUGUGACAGAAGUCUUGCUGAAGUACAAAACGGGUGAAACAAAUGACUUUGAGUUGUUGAAGAACCAGCUGUUAGAUCCAGACAUAAAGGAUGACCAGAUCAUCAACUGGCUGCUAGAAUUCCGUUCUUCUAUCAUGUACUUGACAAAAGACUUUGAGCAACUUAUCAGUAUUAUAUUGAGAUUGCCUUGGUUGAAUAGAAGUCAAACAGUAGUGGAAGAGUAUUUGGCUUUUCUUGGUAAUCUUGUAUCAGCACAGACUGUUUUCCUCAGACCGUGUCUCAGCAUGAUUGCUUCCCAUUUUGUGCCUCCCCGAGUGAUCAUUAAGGAAGGCGAUGUAGAUGUUUCAGAUUCUGAUGAUGAAGAUGAUAAUCUUCCUGCAAAUUUUGACACGUCACAGAGCCUUGCAAAUAAUAGCAAGAUAUGUACCAUUGACACCGUGGUUUCUCAUGCCAAUACUGGUGGAAAAAUUUCCAUUUGUUCGAAAAUCAGAGAGAACACUGGAAUGUUACGUUCAUAACUUACUAAGGAUUAGUGUAUAUUUUCCAACCUUGAGGCAUGAAAUUCUGGAGCUUAUUAUUGAAAAACUACUCAAGUUGGAUGUGAAUGCAUCCCGGCAGGGUAUUGAAGAUGCUGAAGAAACAGCAAAUCAAACUUGUGGUGGGACAGAUUCCACGGAAGGAUUGUGUAAUAUGGGAUUCGCAGAGGCAUUUUUGGAACCUCUUUGGAAAAAAUUGCAGGAUCCAAGUAAUCCUGCCAUCAUCAGGCAGGCUGCUGGAAAUUAUAUUGGAAGCUUUUUGGCAAGAGCUAAAUUUAUUCCUCUUAUUACUGUAAAAUCAUGCCUAGAUCUUUUGGUUAACUGGCUGCACAUAUACCUUAAUAACCAGGAUUCGGGAACAAAGGCAUUCUGCGAUGUUGCUCUCCAUGGACCAUUUUACUCAGCCUGCCAAGCUGUGUUCUACACCUUUGUUUUUAGACACAAGCAGCUUUUGAGCGGAAACCUGAAAGAAGGUUUGCAGUAUCUUCAGAGUCUGAAUUUUGAGUGGAUAGUGAUGAGCCAGCUAAAUCCCCUGAAGAUUUGCCUGCCCUCAGUGGUUAACUUUUUUGCUGCAAUCACAAAUAAGUACCAGCUCGUCUUCUGCUACACCAUCAUUGAGAGGAACAAUCGCCAGAUGCUGCCAGUCAUUAGGAGUACCACUGGAGGAGACUCAGUGCAGACCUGCACAAACCCACUGGACACCUUCUUCCCCUUUGAUCCCUGUGUGCUGAAGAGGUCAAAGAAAUUCAUUGAUCCUAUUUAUCAGGUAUGGGAAGACAUGAGUGCUGAAGAGCUACAGGAGUUCAAGAAACCCAUGAAAAAGUUGUUCUGGAGAAUCAUGUAGCGACAGAUGAAGACGAACCUGCUUUGAAAUGCCAGCGACUAGAAAUCAAUUGCCAGGAUCCAUCUAUAAAGUCAUUCCUGUAUUCCAUCAACCAGACAAUCUGCUUGCGGUUGGAUAGCAUUGAAGCCAAAUUGCAAGCCCUGGAGGCUACUUGUAAAUCCUUAGAAGAAAAGCUGGAUCUGGUCACGAACAAGCAGCACAGCCCCAUCCAGGUUCCCAUGGUUGCCGGCUCCCCUCUCAGGACAACCCAGAUGUGCAACAAAGUGCGAUGGUAAGAACAGACCAGGGUGCCGGGGCCUUCAGGUCACUUGGGGAGAAGCGCGUCACCUCCUCGCCCAGGCCCGCAGCUUAGUGGCUCAGUUUGCUGGAGAUGCGCAGUGUCUGCCUCAGCAGUCUCAGCAGUUUCUAACUAAAGCUGACUUUAGUUAGACCGAAACCGAACACAUGGCAUCCUGCCAGGAUGACCUGAAGUCAUCCUCACCUUUCCUUUCCACAUAAAGCCGGCCCAUACACCUUUUCUUUGGAACUAACCCACCAGAUCUUAGAAGAUGUACACGUGCUUCUUUCCUUUUUCCUACUCUACCUGGCUAGUCUUUAGAUAUGUUUUUCUUCGUAUGUGGUGUUUAUACAUUUCACAUGAAUAUAUCAAACUUUUCAUUCAAA
Molecule: RNA transcript, 2397 nt
Organism: Homo sapiens (human)
Lineage: Eukaryota; Metazoa; Chordata; Mammalia; Primates; Hominidae
Gene: RRN3P2
Gene name: RRN3 pseudogene 2
Exons: 17
Source: RefSeq, marked validated